CAACACAGAAACAAUCAAACUUGAAGUCCUCAACAUGGAAGAUAUGUUUUGUUCCUAACCAUCUAUAAUCCAUUCUCUAUGAAGUUCAGACUGUCUGCUCUUCCUUUGGAAAUACACAGUUAGUCAAUCAACAUAGAAACACACAAACUUGAAGGAUUCUCUAGUGAGGGCUUAUGGAAAUGAUCUAUGUCUACUCUUAGAAUGGUGAAAGACUAUCAGAUUAUGCAAAGACUAACAGAAUAUCCUCUCUUGGAACACUGAAACAAGAAAACCAAACUUAAGAGGAUGGAGGAUUUAAGAAGAACAUAGAUAAAUAUGAUUUCCAACCAAUUUAACCAGUACGAUCAUAGACUGUGGUUUACAGGAUGACAAAGAAAGGAACCAGGAUUGUAUCUUUCACUGUCAGACACUGACUAUGGAUAAAGUGUAAUCAUUUAUCAAACUGAGAUCUAGUCAAAUCAAGUAUUGAAAAUAUGAUUUUCUGAUAGCAUGAGCUCUUUAAAAACUAAUUCUCACAGACCUCAAAGUAUCUGAAUGUGACUUUUAUUUUUACCAAUUCAUAUUGAAGACUGUUGUUAUGUAUGGGAAUUACACAUUAAAACCUUUUAUUUUUCAUCUAAUUUUUACAACCCCCUAGAAAUUAACACAGAUAUCCAGAUGCUGGAUUUAAUGUUAUUAUUUAACUUUCCUGGAAUUGUAAAUAUAUUUUGUUUGUGUAUGUAUCAUGUUUAAUUUUGAAUUUAAAAUUGGUCUCAAUAAGACCCCCAAUAAAGAUGCAAGUGUCCCAUAAUCUGUGUUUUAAUAAUAUCUUGAAUAUCUUUAUCAUACCAUAUUCAUCAUACUAAUUACAUAUAGAAUGGUUGUAGGAAUACACUUUGUUGUUAAGGACACUUUGUCAAGGUCAAAGCAUAAGAUUAUUGAGAUGACUUCUUUGACAAUAAUUUGUAACUUACAAACUUCACAUCAUAAGUACACACUCAGAUGAAGAAUCAAUAAGAUAUUUCUAUAGAGUUUUUGGAUCAUUUACUCCUGGGUAAAAGUUAAUUACUGAGAUUACUGAUUUGAGUCCUGUAAUGCAAUAACUUAAACAUUGUGUAAUAACUUAUAGACUUUAUAAAAAUUAGGUGCAAAUUCUUAGGAAAGGAAUGAAAUGUUAAUCAAAUGUACAAUGUUCAAAGGUGUUUAUAUGACUAUUACUAUGUAAUACCUUGGGUUUCUGUAAAAAUCCUAUAUUCACUACAUAGAUAAAGACCUGUAUAAUAUAUAUUUUAAACUAUGCUGAAGGAAAAAAAAAGUCAAAAGCUCUCCCCUUCAUCUCUUUCAUAUUCUGUCAUACACAACAAUAGAUAAAUUGCAGUCUUAUAACAAACUGAUGUCUAAUCAAAUCCUAGAAUUGA
Molecule: long non-coding RNA, 1397 nt
Organism: Saccostrea cuccullata (small rock oyster)
Lineage: Eukaryota; Metazoa; Mollusca; Bivalvia; Ostreida; Ostreidae
Exons: 3
Source: RefSeq, a predicted model, not a curated record